This is a long non-coding RNA of Cotesia glomerata, 4037 nucleotides long. RefSeq lists it as uncharacterized. The record is from RefSeq and is a predicted model, not a curated record. NCBI's taxonomy places the organism in Eukaryota, Metazoa, Arthropoda, Insecta, Hymenoptera, Braconidae. The transcript has 7 exons.
UAAAAAUAAAAAAAUUUUGACAAUUUGACAGUUUUCAGCUAACUUCAGAAUAAUGUAAACAAAGGGAUAGAAGAGAUGAGACAUUAUAAUCGUGGUGCGUUGUCACGAAUAUUACACAAUAUCUCUAGCUCUAAGGCAACUAUCGAUCAUCGCGCGGAUCAUCUGUGAGAAAGUAGAAAGCGACCAUAAACUAUUAUGAAAUAAUAAUAAAAGGAGUCAAGGAGCCUUGGACGUCGAAAAUUUUUCGUGGUAUCACCGGGGUACACGAGUAAAGAGUCAGAGUUUGCAGGUUAAAUGUCACGUGUCUAAAAUUAUUUCUUCCAUCCGACAAUGCGACACUGUCAACAGUAGAUGUAAAUGAUACUGGAUCUUAGAUAGAUUAAGGGGAAAAUAAAACAACAACCUCCAUGUUAAUAACUUUCACUGUCAAAGGGUAUAGCUUUCGUUGCAUGACCUUGAUGUACUACUGGCUUUAUCUGGAUAUCUACCGAGUUGUGUGUGGAUUUACGAGAGUAAGACUCCCACGAGUCGUGCGCACAUGUCCUCGGUCCCCGAAGAAGCAAAGUGCCUCGGUGGCUGGUUACCGCUAGCGAAGCAAUCCAUAUUCUAAGCACACUAAGUAGGAAGAAGACGAAGAAAAAGGAAGAAGAAAUGGUAUGGGUUUGCGAAUAAGUUAAGCCUGAGGAAUCGUGCGAGCUAUUGCCGAGGUGAAAGGUGAAAGUCGCAUCAGUUAGACUCAUCUGCUCGGCACGAUCUGAGGAGAUGUCUGUGGUCGUGAAAAUUCUACUACACUGGUACAUUUGUGUGGAGUACACUAGAGAUAGAAGUGUUGCAUGAUGCAUAUCCAACACUGGGUAUCUUCUCUGGUUACCAGGCUAUCGUGGACGACAUCCGAGAGAAAAUAAUAAAAUUAGCGCAAAAACCUGACUCGAGAUUUCAUUGUGGAUUGUGGUGUUAAUUAUUCGCCAAUUAACACGCGGAGCCUGAUGAAGCAAGCUUGCGUAAUCUGCGAAAAAACCAGGGUAUAUCAUCUGAGAUUUAAUAAUCGUAUCAUUGUACACCGUGGGCGUAAUACUAAGCAAUAUAAUUAUCGUGCGAAUUCGUGAUAUUUUUAGUUUGUAGCCACGGGAACGCUCAACUACAUCUACCUUGCUUUGUCUUGAGCGCUACUGUUUGUGGCUAUUCAAGCUUGGUUAACAUUAUCUCCAGUGUGCAUAACCGAGAAGAAGAUGAUGAUGGAACAGACAAAGAAGAAAGACAAGAGGAGUCAAACUUUAGCUCAAACGUGUAAUCAUUUUCACGUCUCGGUACUUUGGUUAAUAAACACUUUCAUAAUAUCACCGCGGUCAGGAUGAAACGACCUGGGUUACUUUUUUACGACUCAUUUACUUUAUUAUAAUUAUUAAUUAUUUAAUUAAAUUUUAUAAUUUUUUUAAUUAAUUUAUUUUUUUUUUUUUUUUUUUUUUUUUAGAAUUAUGAAACACUUCCUGUGUGUUAUGAAUAAUUAGUGUCGUUAGUCCGGAAGCGUGUUAAUUGUUUGGGCAAGGUGUUUAAACAGCGAAGAGGAGAGAAGAAAAAAAAAUAAGUGAAGAGUAGGACGGAUGAUGUUAAAAUAAAAUAGGAGAUUAAUGACUGACCUCGACGGUUCUUUCUAUUUCAACAAGUGAAAACAAAAAACACCAUCGUUUACUCUAGACAGAAUGACUGCGGUUUCAUCGGCGUGACGGCGUUAUCACUAAAUCGUUUUGUCAUAUACUUAAAACUCUUUUCUUCAUCUACAAUGCCAAUUUCAAUCUCAGUUGGCUGGGUACCCUGGCAUUAAAGCUGCGGUGUAGAAGUAUUUAACAACCCUCGUGGAUUAUAUUUUAUUUGCUAAAAUAUAAUAAAUUUAUAAAUUUAUGCCACGGCCAUAACUCUACCAUUUAAAUAGCGUAAAGACAGUAUUAAAUUUCUUAUGAUUUUAGUUUUAGUUAAACUCGUCUAAAGUUUAUCACCGUUAUUAUAAUAUUACGUAGUCAUAUGAAUUAUCUUGCAACCGAGUUUGCUAAAUUAUUACUUAUAAUAUUAACGCAACUUGUUGCUUUUUGUUUGGCUAAUCAUACGAGAAAUUGAGUCGUUGAGUUAUGGUUUAUGGUGAUGAAAAGUACGUCAUUAACUGAAAGUGACUGAGCUCAAGAUACGGUCAGACAUACGAAGAAUUCCUGACAAAAUUAUUAAAUUUUAUAUCUUCACCAUAUACGCUGAUAAUUUAUGCUAAUAUAUAUAGAGAAGAUAUAUUAUAGUAAAUAAUAACAUUGUAUUUAUUAUUUAUACGUAUUUUCUUUUUCAGGAAAAACUUUCAGAUGAGCGUCCUAUUGACCGUGGAGAUAAAAUCGAUAUAUUGUAUAUAUAUAUACAUAUACAAGCAUUAUAUAUUGUAUAUUCAAUCGGUGUAUACGGGUGAGAUUUGUGAGAUGCGACAAGUAAUGAGAAUCGGCGAAAGUCUCGUACAUUACAUGCGAUUAUAGAUAUCUCACAAGUUACAAGUUUAAGUGUAUAUUUAAAAUGAUUGAACAUCAUCAUCUUAUUGAAUGGCCUCCUCUUAGCUGUCAUUAUCAUUGUUGGCCUUUCGACCUUUUAAAAUUUGCCAAUCGGAUUAGCAAACACAGCUAAUUACUCUUUAAUUCACUAUUACAAAUACAGUUUUGUUAAAUUUUAUUCAAUUAUUACCUAAGAUUAACCUUUUACUGAAGAUAAAUUCACAAUCACAACAAUAAAGUUAAGAAGAAAAUGAAGAAGAAAUUAUUUUUAUUUAAAGACAAUUCGAGCAACAUGUCAAAAGUUAUUUUCGUUACUCUCACGACAAGAACGAUUUAAUCGUGAGAAUAACACGGUUAUAUUCUUCUUCUUUUUUGUUAAUAUUGUUGUUGUUGUUGUCUAUGUUACUGCGGUAAUUGUUACGACAUUAGUUAGUUGUUUGUUAAAUAAAAAAUUGAUUUUUCAUGAGAAUCACUUGGUUUAUGUUACAUGUUAAUAUUUUUAUCUGUUACAGAACUAUCUUCUUUAAUUUUAAUUACCAAAAUAAUUAAUGUAAUUUGUGUUAUAACAAGUAAUAAUUGGAGCGAAGUAUUAAAAUAUUGAGAAAUAACUUACGUUGCGAUGAAUAACGAUCCAGUAAUGAUCCAAGUAUUUGAUCCAGGGUAAUGAUGCACGAAGUGGCGUUAUUGCGAGAAAGGUGAGAGUGAAUAGCUGAGAGCAUCUUCAUCGGAGCUUUAUAUAGGAAUUGUAUCCCCUUACUUCUAGGCUGGUAGAAAGAGGAGGCCACCUCCUCCACCGACACCAUCACCAGCUCCGGCGCCGUCCAGAUCCUCAGAGUCCGUACCGCAGGAUCUUCAUGAAGAUUUAAUAACACACCUGGACCCAUUACUCCGGCAUGUGUUAUCUAUUAUCUAUCAACCGUCAGCGUGUAUGACACUGUUUCGCAAUUUACAUCCAGCCUGCCAAUAAACCGGCUGACUGUCAAUUAGACUCGGAAUCAGAAUCUACAAUUCCAGAGUGUCCUUCAAUUAAACUUAAACCUCAGAGAGCAGUAAAAAAAAAUUAAAAUAACUUGAAACAAGAUUGAGAUUUUGAUGAUUUUAUUUUUUAUUAAAAUUCAACUAUUUAAUUCGCGUUAUUCAAAGUCUUUUGUGUGAGUUUAUUGUACGGCAAGUCAGAGAGGUUGAGAGAAAUUUAUAUAUAUACACAUUACUUUUAAGUAGCCUUGCAUUUAAAUCUACAUUAUUUUGUAAUAUAUUUCUUCUGAGAUUUUAUUUAAAAUAACUUAUCGGUUCAACCGUGUCUUAGUAAGUGUAAUUUUAAUUGUAAUUGUAAUUUUUAUUUAAAUUUAAAAUAACCUUAUUAAUUCAAAGCGAUGGUGAUACCUGAAUGAUCCCAACUAGGAUUUUAAAUAUUAUUGAGGCACUUGCCAGCGCGGGUGACUCAUCGCGUAAGAGCAGUUGAGUCGAAAAAUGUUUUAAUUACAAUUUUUAAAAAAGUGUUGGGCUGUGCGAUAAUUA